AGAUACCAGCUGGCUGCAACUGUUUAUUAAAAACACAGCACUGUGCAAACACGAAAGUGGACGUAUACGGUGUGACGCCUGCCCGGUGCCGGAAGGUUAAUUGAUGGGGUUAUCCCUCGGGAGAAGCUCUUGAUCGAAGCCCCGGUAAACGGCGGCCGUAACUAUAACGGUCCUAAGGUAGCGAAAUUCCUUGUCGGGUAAGUUCCGACCUGCACGAAUGGCGUAAUGAUGGCCAGGCUGUCUCCACCCGAGACUCAGUGAAAUUGAACUCGCUGUGAAGAUGCAGUGUACCCGCGGCAAGACGGAAAGACCCCGUGAACCUUUACUAUAGCUUGACACUGAACACUGGUCCUUGAUGUGUAGGAUAGGUGGGAGGCUUUGAAGUGCGGACGCCAGUCUGCAUGGAGCCGCCCUUGAAAUACCACCCUUUAAUGGCUGGUGUUCUAACGUGGGCCCGUAAUCCGGGUUGCGGACAGUGUCUGGUGGGUAGUUUGACUGGGGCGGUCUCCUCCUAAAGAGUAACGGAGGAGCACGAAGGUCAGCUAAUCCUGGUCGGACAUCAGGAGGUUAGUGCAAUGGCAUAAGCUGGCUUGACUGCGAGCGUGACGGCGCGAGCAGGUGCGAAAGCAGGUCAUAGUGAUCCGGUGGUUCUGAAUGGAAGGGCCAUCGCUCAACGGAUAAAAGGUACUCCGGGGAUAACAGGCUGAUACCGCCCAAGAGUUCAUAUCGACGGCGGUGUUUGGCACCUCGAUGUCGGCUCAUCACAUCCUGGGGCUGAAGUAGGUCCCAAGGGUAUGGCUGUUCGCCAUUUAAAGUGGUACGCGAGCUGGGUUUAGAACGUCGUGAGACAGUUCGGUCCCUAUCUGCCGUGGGCGCUGGAGAACUGAGGGGGGCUGCUCCUAGUACGAGAGGACCGGAGUGGACGCAUCACUGGUGUUCGGGUUGUCAUGCCAAUGGCACUGCCCGGUAGCUAAAUGCGGAAGAGAUAAGUGCUGAAAGCAUCUAAGCACGAAACUUGCCCCGAGAUGAGUUCUCCCUGACUCCUUGAGAGUCCUGAAGGAACGUUGAAGACGACGACGUUGAUAGGCCGGGUGUGUAAGCGCAGCGAUGCGUUGAGCUAACCGGUACUAAUGAACCGUGAGGCUUAACCUU
Molecule: ribosomal RNA, 1152 nt
Filed under: Citrobacter koseri
Lineage: Bacteria; Pseudomonadati; Pseudomonadota; Gammaproteobacteria; Enterobacterales; Enterobacteriaceae
Description: partial 23S ribosomal RNA
Rfam family: Bacterial large subunit ribosomal RNA
Source: RNAcentral